GUAGGUGUUGACGGUAGCAGAAGCCGGGUGGGGGGCAGUAGCCAGCCGAGUUUUAGCUUGGGGAUCUCGCAGGAAGUAGCGUGUGGCGCGGGAGCAGGCGAAAAAUCACCUGUAGCAGGUGUCCAGACUGACUUCGGACCCGGGCCUUCGGAUGAUCUGGACGUGUCGGCCACCAUAUCUAGCCCUGUCAGAAGCCCUCUAAGCUUCAAGUCAUGGGUGCGCGAAGGUGAGGCCCCUACGAAGGUUGAUGUUGCGUCGGGUAGCCAACCUAGUUUCAGUCUGGGGAUAUCGCAGAGUGUGCCUUGUGAGCGGCAGCCAAACGGGAAAAACUCGAGUAAUGAGGCCGGAUCGGGUUCCGUACGUAGUGGUGGUGCGGGCGGCACCGACGGUGCAAGAAGACGUUUAGGAGCUGAUAUCUGCGGCUGGGGCCCUAUUGCAACCCGGGGCCCGUUCGACAUGGCAGAG
Long non-coding RNA from Helianthus annuus (common sunflower), 465 nucleotides. RefSeq lists it as uncharacterized. The transcript has 3 exons. NCBI's taxonomy places the organism in Eukaryota, Viridiplantae, Streptophyta, Magnoliopsida, Asterales, Asteraceae. The record is from RefSeq and is a predicted model, not a curated record.